Molecule: transfer RNA, 71 nt
Filed under: Minisyncoccota bacterium
Lineage: Bacteria; Bacillati; Minisyncoccota
Description: tRNA-Trp
Rfam family: tRNA
About the family: Transfer RNA (tRNA) molecules are approximately 80 nucleotides in length. Their secondary structure includes four short double-helical elements and three loops (D, anti-codon, and T loops). Further hydrogen bonds mediate the characteristic L-shaped molecular structure. tRNAs have two regions of fundamental functional importance: the anti-codon, which is responsible for specific mRNA codon recognition, and the 3' end, to which the tRNAs corresponding amino acid is attached (by aminoacyl-tRNA synthetases). tRNAs cope with the degeneracy of the genetic code in two manners: having more than one tRNA (with a specific anti-codon) for a particular amino acid; and 'wobble' base-pairing, i.e. permitting non-standard base-pairing at the 3rd anti-codon position.
Source: RNAcentral
GGGUAGAUAAUUUAAUGGCAGAAUUCUUGUCUCCAAAACAAGCAGUCCUGGUUCGAGUCCAGGUCUACCCA